RNAcentral lists this ribosomal RNA (468 nucleotides) under uncultured bacterium. Its description in RNAcentral is "partial 16S ribosomal RNA". It matches the Rfam family "Bacterial small subunit ribosomal RNA", at positions 28 to 507 of the family's 1533-position model. The record is from RNAcentral.
GACGAACGCUGGCGGCGUGCUUAACACAUGCCAGUCGAACGGAAACUCCCUGCUUUUGUGGGGUGCUCUACUUGCGACCGGGUGAGUUACCCUUGAGUAACCUGCCCUUGACUUUGGGGUAACUUCAUGACACUGGGGCUCAUACCGCAUAGGAGCUCCUGCUUCUUGGUGGGGCUUGGAUAGUUUCGCCGGUUGGGGAUGUACUCGCGUCUUAUCAGCUUGUUGGUGGGGUAGUGGCUUACCAAGGCUAUGACGGGUAGCCGUCCUGAGAGGGUGACCGGCAACAUUAGGAAUGAGAUGCGGCACAGACUCCUACGGGAGGGAGCAGUGGAGAAUGGUACAGAGGGGGAGGAGGAAAGGUGGAGCAAAGCCGUGUGGGGGAAGACGGACUUCGGGUAGUAAACCGCUUUCGCCUGUGACGGAGCGAGAGUGACGGUAACGGGUGAAGAAGCACCGGCUAACUACGUG